UACGUAGGGCGCGAGCGUUGUCCGGAAUUAUUGGGCGUAAAGAGCUCGUAGGCGGCCUGUUGCGUCCGCUGUGAAAUCCCGGGGCUCAACCCCGGGCUUGCAGUGGAUACGGGCUGGCUAGAGGCAGGCAGGGGAGAACGGAAUUCCCGGUGUAGCGGUGAAAUGCGCAGAUAUCAGGAGGAACACCGGUGGCGAAGGCGGGACUCUGGGCCGAUACUGACGCUGAGGAGCGAAAGCGUGGGGAGCAAACAGG
RNAcentral lists this ribosomal RNA (253 nucleotides) under uncultured bacterium. RNAcentral describes it as "partial 16S ribosomal RNA". It matches the Rfam family "Bacterial small subunit ribosomal RNA", at positions 524 to 776 of the family's 1533-position model. The record is from RNAcentral.